Molecule: ribosomal RNA, 497 nt
Filed under: uncultured bacterium
Lineage: Bacteria
Description: partial 16S ribosomal RNA
Rfam family: Bacterial small subunit ribosomal RNA
Source: RNAcentral
GAUGAACGCUGGCGGCGUGCCUAAUACAUGCAAGUCGAGCGAACAGACGAGGAGCUUGCUCCUCUGACGUUAGCGGCGGACGGGUGAGUAACACGUGGAUAACCUACCUAUAAGACUGGGAUAACUUCGGGAAACCGGAGCUAAUACCGGAUAAUAUAUUGAACCGCAUGGUUCAAUAGUGAAAGACGGUUUUGCUGUCACUUAUAGAUGGAUCCGCGCCGCAUUAGCUAGUUGGUAAGGUAACGGCUUACCAAGGCAACGAUGCGUAGCCGACCUGAGAGGGUGAUCGGCCACACUGGAACUGAGACACGGUCCAGACUCCUACGGGAGGCAGCAGUAGGGAAUCUUCCGCAAUGGGCGAAAGCCUGACGGAGCAACGCCGCGUGAGUGAUGAAGGUCUUCGGAUCGUAAAACUCUGUUAUUAGGGAAGAACACAUGUGUAAGUAACUAUGCACGUCUUGACGGUACCUAAUCAGAAAGCCACGGCUAACUACGUG